This 402-nucleotide ribosomal RNA is filed under the name uncultured Sphingomonas sp. RNAcentral's name for it is "bacterial SSU rRNA". It matches the Rfam family "Bacterial small subunit ribosomal RNA", at positions 355 to 774 of the family's 1533-position model. Lineage: Bacteria; Pseudomonadati; Pseudomonadota; Alphaproteobacteria; Sphingomonadales; Sphingomonadaceae. The record is from RNAcentral.
UGGGGAAUAUUGGACAAUGGGGGCAACCCUGAUCCAGCAAUGCCGCGUGAGUGAUGAAGGCCCUAGGGUUGUAAAGCUCUUUUACCCGGGAAGAUAAUGACUGUACCGGGAGAAUAAGCCCCGGCUAACUCCGUGCCAGCAGCCGCGGUAAUACGGAGGGGGCUAGCGUUGUUCGGAAUUACUGGGCGUAAAGCGCACGUAGGCGGCUUUGUAAGUUAGAGGUGAAAGCCCGGGGCUUAACCCCGGAAUUGCCCUUGAGACUGUAUCGCUUGAACACGGGAGAGGUGAGUGGAAUUCCGAGUGUAGAGGUGAAAUUCGUAGAUAUUCGGAAGAACACCAGUGGCGAAGGCGGCUCACUGGACCGUAGUUGACGCUGAGGUGCGAAAGCGUGGGGAGCAAACA